AUGACUUCCAAUCUAGUCUUUGUCACCUUGGAAACUUUACCUCGGGAUUGACUGGAGGAUUCACAAUGAUUCUCUGAAACUGGGGCGGAACAACUGCGGAAUCUUUGAUCUGUGCACCCUAUUCUUCCCAGUCCCUCUGGAGGAACCCAGUAGGCCAGGCAGCAUCGAUGGAAAUUACUAAGCUGUUGAUGUUUUGGGCCGAGACCCUUCUUCAGGACUGGGAAGGAAGGAGGAAGAUGCCAGAAUAUAAAGUGUUGAUGGAGAUGGAGACUGAGAGCAGUGGAGUGUGGGAAUGCAGAUCAGUUGGACAUUAUCAAUCACUAGGAAUCGAUGCACCGUGGACCAAAGGUCGGACCAAAGACUUUGAAGUGAACAAGUCAUGACAGAGUGAUUCACUGAACAGCUUAAAACUGUCUACACUCCUUCUUGGCCAUUCCAUCUGCUGGAUGCAAAGAAGCAGCUCUUCACAUCUUCACCAGCACCAUCUCCCAAAUCCACAAUCUCUUUUGCAGAUUCUUCUCCCUCCCCAGCUUACGGACGCCAAACUUAAGCAGAGCCCAGGAGACGAGGAAUAUGGAUUUGGCCUACUGCUGAGAUCUGCGGGCAGGAGAGAGCUUGUUUAGUGACUGCAUUACCAGGUUGUAAACUGUUUGUGUUAAGGACAGUUCACAGAAAAAAGUGGGCAGGACACCACAGCUCCAAGCUCCCCAAGUUAAACACCAUCCAAACUUCCAAUUAUUUUCUUUGUUUAUUUUUUCAUUGUUAUUGGUUUGAGGUCCUGUAACUUCUGGCUUAACAACAUCUCUGCCAAGUGGUAGGCAGCAGACUGGAUCUCCAUCUCUGUGCCUUAAUUUGUCUGCUAUCAUGUUCACCAUCAUGCUGCCAUCACUGGUCGCCUCUGUACCACAGCGGUUAACGUGAUACGAUAACAGCUUGCUGCGUCGGACUCUGGAGUUCAAUCGUGGUUCAAUCCCAGUGUCAUUUGUAAGGGGUAUCUGUAUGUUCUCCCCAUGGAAUAUGUGGCUUUUCACCGGGUCCUCUGGUUUCCUCCCACGGUCCAAUGAGGUACCGGGUGGGUUAAUUGGUCAUUGUAAUUUGUCCUGUGAUUAGUG
Mobula hypostoma (lesser devil ray) is the source of this 1112-nucleotide long non-coding RNA. RefSeq lists it as uncharacterized. Lineage: Eukaryota; Metazoa; Chordata; Chondrichthyes; Myliobatiformes; Myliobatidae. The record is from RefSeq and is a predicted model, not a curated record. The transcript has 4 exons.